ACGAGAGGACCGGGAUGGACAUACCUCUGGUGUACCAGUUGUCGUGCCAACGGCAUAGCUGGGUAGCUAUGUAUGGACGGGAUAAGUGCUGAAAGCAUCUAAGCAUGAAGCCCCCCUCAAGAUGAGAUUUCCCAACUUCGGUUAUAAGAUCCCUCGAAGAUGACGAGGUUAAUAGGUUCGAGGUGGAAGCGUGGUGACACGUGGAGCUGACGAAUACUAAUCGAUCGAAGACUUAAUCAA
This 240-nucleotide ribosomal RNA is filed under the name Enterococcus faecium. Its description in RNAcentral is "partial 23S ribosomal RNA". It matches the Rfam family "Bacterial large subunit ribosomal RNA", at positions 2683 to 2925 of the family's 2925-position model. The record is from RNAcentral. Lineage: Bacteria; Bacillati; Bacillota; Bacilli; Lactobacillales; Enterococcaceae.